AGGACCCAUAACCUAUACAAGAACCUCUGGUGUAAAACUUUUUCAGAAGAUAAGUAAGAAACUGAAAUGAGCCCUGAGCAAGCUGCCCUCUGUCCUGGAGACAGAUUAUUAUGUUGUACAAAGGGGAAUCCAGGCAUUUUCACAAGGCAUGAACAUUAUAGGUGAGACUUACCCUUUUCUCAGCAGGAAAAGGAGAUGGUAGCUUGGCAGAGAGCCCGGAUGCAGAUCAGCCCUAGUAGAACAAACCACCUGGAAACCUUCAAAAAUAUUCAGAAAAACUCAGAACCACUAAAAAAUGUGAACUCCUGUAUCUUGAUUGGAGCUCCUCCUCUGAAAAAAAGUUAUAUUCCAUUAUGGGUUACAAUACCCAACACCUUAUAAGCUUAGUUUCUUGGGUAACUCAUCCAGUCUCACAGUUUUAAGUAUCAUCUAUAGCAGCAGCCUAUAAUUUUGAGGUAAGUAUAACUGUUGUCCUCACUGGCCUCUGCUGCAGUAGUAUCCCUUUCUCUCUUGUCCCUGAUAACCAUGCUGGCAUCUGUUACUGAAGUCUAUGGCUAGCUAGGGAACAUGAGAGAUUUCAAAUCAG
Molecule: long non-coding RNA, 586 nt
Filed under: Bos indicus x Bos taurus (hybrid cattle)
Lineage: Eukaryota; Metazoa; Chordata; Mammalia; Artiodactyla; Bovidae
Description: lncRNA (ENSBIXG00005024849.1)
Source: RNAcentral